Cynoglossus semilaevis (tongue sole) is the source of this 525-nucleotide long non-coding RNA. RefSeq lists it as uncharacterized. NCBI's taxonomy places the organism in Eukaryota, Metazoa, Chordata, Actinopteri, Pleuronectiformes, Cynoglossidae. The record is from RefSeq and is a predicted model, not a curated record. The transcript is spliced from 2 exons.
CGCCAUAGAGCCUGGUGGUGAAUCAUCAGCAGUCGUCGGCGGCGGCAGCAGCUCCUCUCUGCUGCUGACCCGCAUUCACCCGUACUGUACAGUCAAAGGGGGAGGAGGACCGAGCAGGGAGAGCUCCAGAACACUUCCUCUGCACACCGCGACCAUGGCUGUGGCGGUCCGGGACAGACGCGGCGCUCCCGUCUCCACGAACCUGAGAGCCGACUAGAAGGUGGAGGCAGCACCGGGAAGACCGCGAAGAAGAGGAAGGAGGAAGAAAAAGAGGAAGAAGACUCACGGAGACGCCGUUUAACACGGUGGAGACCCUGAAGACCCCGUACCUGUGAAGAGCCAGUCCAGCUCCUGGGAAACCCACCAGCAUUCUUUUCCCUUUGUUUUCCAGACGAACCAGACAGGGAGCGUAUCUCCUGAAGGUUGACCUCCUCCUCCGCUCCUCCGCUCCUCCGCUCCUCUCUGGUCCAAUCAGAGGAGCCUCCUCACUCGUCUACCUCCGAGACAAACAGACUAACAAAACAA